This is a long non-coding RNA of Mustela lutreola (European mink), 1522 nucleotides long. RefSeq lists it as uncharacterized. NCBI's taxonomy places the organism in Eukaryota, Metazoa, Chordata, Mammalia, Carnivora, Mustelidae. The record is from RefSeq and is a predicted model, not a curated record. The transcript has 3 exons.
CAUGGUUUGAGGCUCUCGCAAGCUUCAGUGAAGGUUGUGAGCGUCCCUGAGGGGAGGCACUGAUGUCACUGCCCCCUUGCACAGAGGUGGACCACUGGCCCUCGGCCACCCAGCUCACGACUGGUACACGUAGAUGGAAGAGGUGGAAUUCGGAUUCGAGUCUGAGUGGUUCUCGAGAAUUCCGCAGAGACGCUCCGGGACGCGCAGGUCUUCAAAGAUGAUUUAUACCGCUAGUCCCUGCAGCUCUGUGCCCUGUGAUCACGCCGGGGGGAUGGCCCCUUCCCUCCACACCGCCCAUCCCUGAGCCAAGAAGAUUCCUCUUUUUCCUCGUGAUUUCUUCUAUUGCUUGGAAACGUAUAAACCACUUGGGAAGUUUAAGAAAAGUGAAGGAAGUUAAGAAAAAUUUAUAAAUGCUUUUCCAGAAGGCUGGAUUCCUAGAAGACAGGGAUUUAUGGUGUGAGAGCUCCAGCCCCCGCAAACCCACAGCCAAGGUCAACAGCACGAGGCGGGCAGCCCUGCCAAGCGAGGAGGGGAGCAAGGACUUUGAGAGCUGGUUGCACAGAAAACCAAAGUACAUGCAUUGAAAAAAAAAAAAAAAAAAUCCCUUCUCUCCCUCAUGUUCCCAAACCAGGGGCUUAAACAAAAGUCCCCCAGACUGGCCCGGACAAGGCCCCUUGUCUGGAAAGAGCGAACCUUCUUGGAGACAAACUUCUGAAGCUACCCGGGGGUGGGGGGGAGUGCUCCCCAAGGGUCUGUGGAGGGCCUGAAAGGGGUCCUGUUGCUAGACCCAGCCACAGCAGCCCCCUUGUGGCUUUGGGAGGGUGGUGAGCAGGCUACCCAUGGUGCCCCAUCCUUCUAGCUAACCAAGGACAGCUGAAAUGGACAGAGGAGCCCUGGGCCCUUCGCAAAACACCCCCCCCAACAUGGGAGCCUGAUUUGCGCAGUGUCCCGUCCGCCUUCUGGAGGCGGGGGUCUUGAUGACCGAGGCACAGUGAAUGCCCAGCAGCCCAGGGGCCAGGGCUUCCUGUCACAAACCUAGAGCAUUGAGUCUCUGGCAGGGGAGAAUAAGCUUAUCCCAGCCUCCCCGGGAGGAGAGCAGGGGCCUGGAGACCACCUUGAGUCAAACCCCAGUGACCUGGUGCUGGGAUGACAGCCUCCACCUUGAUCGUGAACCCGGGCAGGUGCAACAGAACGUCCGCCGGUUAUCCGCGCUUCUGACGUUUCUAGCCCCACGGAGUGUCGGGCACCUGGGAAAGUAAAACAAGGCAGCCUCCUGCCCCGAGAAGCACCUCCGAGUGGGGAGCACCGACAUGGAGACAGAUGAUGACCAUCACUUGAGGGGCUGUGGGUCCCCCCAAGAGGGACGGAGCGCCCCAGGAUACAGGGAAGGACAUGGGUCAGAGAAAGUUCCUGAAGGAGGUGCCCCCAGGGGUGGCUGGAGUUCAUCAGACAGACACCCAGUGGGAGGGGAGCCUGGAGGGAACAUUCCAGCUAAGUCCACAGCAUGUGCAAAGGCCCAGAA